This is a long non-coding RNA of Corticium candelabrum, 408 nucleotides long. RefSeq lists it as uncharacterized. NCBI's taxonomy places the organism in Eukaryota, Metazoa, Porifera, Homoscleromorpha, Homosclerophorida, Plakinidae. The record is from RefSeq and is a predicted model, not a curated record. The transcript is spliced from 3 exons.
CGUCGGACAGAUACUGUACUCACACAGAAACGUAAAACGAAGACAUAUCAUAAAUUGUCACAGACAACUGGUCGUCGAGAGCGUCCCGGCUGAUCAUGUUUGCAUCAUUUGAUCUACAGCUGGCUUUCGUUGGGAAAGGAAUGAUUGCUGUAGCAGAAGGAAACGUGUGGGAAUGGAUUGACAUCGGCAGUCGGUCACGAAAUAGCGACAUCAUCUUUUGAAAGUCAUCUACGACUACGUACACUCUGUUGGUCUGUCUAGAAUAAAGGAAUUUCUUUAUGAUAGCAACAGACGAACUGCGAAGUAAGACGACAAAGGGUUCUCUCUUGAUGUGCCUCUCGUAGGUGACAGCGUAAAAGACUUCACCGUUAUGUAAGAUGCGAGACACUUCCUCUAGCUCUCCACAAU